UAGAGUUUGAUCAUGGCUCAGAUUGAACGCUGGCGGCAGGCUUAACACAUGCAAGUCGAACGGUAACAGAACUAGCUUGCUAGUUGCUGACGAGUGGCGGACGGGUGAGUAACGCGUAGGAAUCUACCGAAUAGUGGGGGACAACAGUUGGAAACGGCUGCUAAUACCGCAUACGCCCUACGGGGGAAAGGAGGGGAUCUUCGGACCUUUCGCUAUUUGAUGAGCCUGCGUGAGAUUAGUUAGUUGGUGGGGUAAUGGCUCACCAAGGCGACGAUCUCUAGCUGGUCUGAGAGGAUGAUCAGCCACACUGGGACUGAGACACGGCCCAGACUCCUACGGGAGGCAGCAGUGGGGAAUAUUGCACAAUGGGGGAAACCCUGAUGCAGCCAUGCCGCGUGUGUGAAGAAGGCCUUCGGGUUGUAAAGCACUUUCAGUUGUGAGGAAAGGUUAAGGGUUAAUAACCCUUAGCUGUGACGUA
This 478-nucleotide ribosomal RNA is filed under the name uncultured marine bacterium. RNAcentral describes it as "bacterial SSU rRNA". It matches the Rfam family "Bacterial small subunit ribosomal RNA", at positions 1 to 482 of the family's 1533-position model. The record is from RNAcentral.